Long non-coding RNA from Lepus europaeus (European hare), 872 nucleotides. RefSeq lists it as uncharacterized. Lineage: Eukaryota; Metazoa; Chordata; Mammalia; Lagomorpha; Leporidae. The transcript is spliced from 3 exons. The record is from RefSeq and is a predicted model, not a curated record.
GCGGGGGGCGGGCCGGCUUUGACCGAGACCCGCCGGCGCGACGGCUCUGCGCCUCACACCUUCCUCCUUUGUGCGACGGGAGUUGGCGGAGCAGUCCCUGCCCGAGUGCGUUAAAUGUGAGGUCCGUAGCACGCAGGCCCGCAGUGACUGACAACCGUUGUUACUGUGGUCCCCGCGGAGGCCUCCGGGCCGCCCCUCACGUCGGUCCCCUUCCCUUGCCCGAGUGCCCUGCGCAGCCGGCACCACCGUCCCGCACCCUCUGAUUUUAUUCACUGCAGCGGCGAAGGCCGGCGCACGGUAGUUGCUAAGCCCCUGUGGAAUGAUUGAACGGGGCCCGGCUUUGCAGCUGGGACUCCUACCCGCCCCUCUCUCCCCGUCACGUCCGCUCCCGGUGCAAACUGGUGUGCGCUUGAUGCGCUUUCAGGGCUCGAACUUAAAGUCAGGGGUCAGCAUGGAACUCCAGGGUUGCUUUUUGGCUCCUUUGGGUGUUCCCCGGCUCGAUGUGCCCCCCCACCCCCACCCCAGUACCGGGGUGACAGGGGACGGGAAGGGGAAACGACACCUCAGCCACCACGACCUACGCCGGACGCCGGGAGGCUGAGUUUUUGGUCUCUGCAAGUAAUCCUGCAGUGAAAUACCCAGGUGCAUCUACCCGUCUGCUCUGCUGCUUUUGUUCUGCGGAGUGGACAGUUAGAGAGAGAGAGAGAGAAAGGUCUUCCUUUGCCGUUGGUUCACUCCCCAAUGGCCACCGCGGCCAGCGUACUACGGCCGGUGCACCGCGCUCAUCCAAAGCCAAGAGCCAGGUGCUUCUCCUGGCCUCCCAUGGGGUGCAGGGCCCAAGCACUUGGGCCAUCCUCCACUGCACUCCCUGG